RNAcentral lists this ribosomal RNA (450 nucleotides) under uncultured bacterium. Its description in RNAcentral is "bacterial SSU rRNA". It matches the Rfam family "Bacterial small subunit ribosomal RNA", at positions 355 to 796 of the family's 1533-position model. The record is from RNAcentral.
UAGGGAAUAUUGCGCAAUGGGGGAAACCCUGACGCAGCAACGCCGCGUGAGUGAGGAAGGUCUUCGGAUUGUAAAACUCUGUUCUUAGGGAAAAAUGAUUCAGUGGUUAAUACCCAUUGGAAGUGAUGGUACCUAAGUAGAAAGCACCGGCUAACUUCGUGCCAGCAGCCGCGGUAAUACGAAGGGUGCAAGCGUUGUUCGGAAUCAUUGGGCGUAAAGCGCGCGCAGGCGGAUCAGCAAGUCAGAUGUGAAAUCUCGAGGCUCAACCUCGAAACUGCGUCUGAAACUGCUAGUCUAGAAUGUCGGAGGGGGCAGGGGAAUUUCACGUGUAGGGGUAAAAUCCGUAGAGAUGUGAAGGAACACCGGGGGCGAAGGCGCCUGCCUGGACGACUAUUGACGCUGAGGCGCGAAAGCGUGGGGAGCAAACAGGAUUAGAUACCCCCGUAGUCC